UUAAUAUUCCAUCUUUUGACAUCUGUUGAGAGGAGUCAUUACAGAAAUGGUUGAAUUUACCAAACUGAUAAUUAUCAAUUUUUUAAACCAAUAAUAGACAAAAUGUGUCGCUUUGCUGUUGUUUUAUUGACCUUGAAAUUAAUACAUGAAAUUUUUAUAUUUCAACAAUGAAGAUUUCGAGGUGAAGGGUGCUGUUUAAGUACCGUUUUAAGAUGUCAGUUCAUGUCAGAUCACUUAUUUCAUACAAAGGUAUUAUUCGUCUUUUAGGUUUUUGUUCAGUCGAUAAUAAUGGAUAAAUUUGGAAACUUCUUGAAAGGUGCUGAAGAUAUGGCAAAUGCACUAGGAACAUCUGGUAACGGACAGAUUGAUCGGGGUGAUGGAAAAAUUGUUGCCUGGUCAUUCAAAGGUCAGAUAAUUGGGAUUGAGUGGAAAUACAUAGGUAUUUGUGUGGAUAAAGCCACAGGAGAAACAACUACUGCUAUAACCUCAAGCAAAGGAGGGGCAAUUGAGCAUUCCAUGAAAGACCUGUUCCAGAGGCUGGCAUCAAAGAAUGCGUUAUAAAAUUAAUGUACUUAUUUUUAACUCAGCACUAUCUUAUGUAUUCUCUGUAUAAUAGUAUACACAUCCGGCCAUUUUUGAUUUUUAUAUAAUUAAUGAAAUAUCGUGCAUUAUAAUCUAUAUAUAUUUUUAGAUUGUUUAGUGAACACAAAUUGUAUCGUUCAGUUUUAUCUUAUGUAUUACACCUUUUCUCAUAUUAAUUCCUGUACUUUUACAAUUUAAUUGAAUUGAUCCGAUACUUUAUACACUAUUGUAUAACAAUAAAAUGUACAAUGAAUA
This is a long non-coding RNA of Mytilus californianus (California mussel), 837 nucleotides long. RefSeq lists it as uncharacterized. The transcript has 2 exons. The record is from RefSeq and is a predicted model, not a curated record. Lineage: Eukaryota; Metazoa; Mollusca; Bivalvia; Mytilida; Mytilidae.